This 540-nucleotide ribosomal RNA is filed under the name uncultured bacterium. RNAcentral describes it as "bacterial SSU rRNA". It matches the Rfam family "Bacterial small subunit ribosomal RNA", at positions 28 to 551 of the family's 1533-position model. The record is from RNAcentral.
GACGAACGCUGGCGGCGUGCCUAAUACAUGCAAGUCGAGCGGAUGAGAAAGGAGCUUGCUCCUUUCGAUUCAGCGGCGGACGGGUGAGUAACACGUGGGCAACCUGCCUGUAAGACUGGGAUAACUCCGGGAAACCGGGGCUAAUACCGGAUAAUUCAUGAGACUGCCUAGUCUGAUGAUAAAAGAUGGUUCUGCUAUCACUUACAGAUGGGCCCGCGGCGCAUUAGCUAGUUGGUGAGGUAACGGCUCACCAAGGCGACGAUGCGUAGCCGACCUGAGAGGGUGAUCGGCCACACUGGGACUGAGACACGGCCCAGACUCCUACGGGAGGCAGCAGUAGGGAAUCUUCCGCAAUGGACGAAAGUCUGACGGAGCAACGCCGCGUGAGCGAUGAAGGCCUUCGGGUCGUAAAGCUCUGUUGUUAGGGAAGAACAAGUAUGAGUUAACUGCUCAUACCGUGACGGUACCUAACGAGAAAGCCACGGCUAACUACGUGCCAGCAGCCGCAGUAAUACGUAAGUGGCAAGCGUUGUCCGGAUU